Molecule: non-coding RNA, 373 nt
Organism: Paramuricea clavata
Lineage: Eukaryota; Metazoa; Cnidaria; Anthozoa; Malacalcyonacea; Plexauridae
Source: the annotation of a GenBank genome assembly
AUAAUAAUACUUGAAUGAAUCAUUGGACAUAUAGAAUUUAAUAACAAUUUAAUAUAUAGAAAUAAGUCAGUUUUUGUCCCAAUUAUCAUUUUAAUGGCACCUUCAAGGCAAUGUUCACAGAACAACUGAAUAAUCUGCUGAUGGGGAGACAAAAUCUAUUUGUUGACAUUUUUGUUUAGUACGUCUGCUUCAGAUGACACCAUUCAUUUGUAAUGACUAAGAUUGUACUCAGCCAGAACUGCAAAACUAUAUAAUAGGAAAGAAUUUGUGAGCACUAUCGAAAAAUAUAGUAUACCCUGAAAUGUAGUGACACAGGCACACAACCAGGGUGAAUAUAUGAAUGUAGGCCGGUAGGAUUAUUUCAUAUUUAUGC